The sequence is a regulatory RNA element, 130 nucleotides long. It matches the Rfam family "Histidine operon leader". From Rfam's summary of the family: At least 6 amino acid operons are known to be regulated by attenuation. The record is from Rfam.
UCAUCACCAUCAUCACCCUGAUUGAUCUUUCGGGCGUUUUGUGGUGUUCGGAAGAAAAGAAAACUUCCGGGCAAGUGUGGAAACAGGAUUGCUAAACCUCUCGGAAGGAAACUUUCGGGAGGUUUUUUUA